CAGGGGUUAUUUUAUUAAAAUAUCAGCUUUGGGUGCUGGAGAUAAGAAUUAGUUUCUUACCCCUGA
This 66-nucleotide transfer RNA is filed under the name Psedna nana. RNAcentral's name for it is "tRNA-Pro". It matches the Rfam family "tRNA". From Rfam's summary of the family: Transfer RNA (tRNA) molecules are approximately 80 nucleotides in length. Their secondary structure includes four short double-helical elements and three loops (D, anti-codon, and T loops). Further hydrogen bonds mediate the characteristic L-shaped molecular structure. tRNAs have two regions of fundamental functional importance: the anti-codon, which is responsible for specific mRNA codon recognition, and the 3' end, to which the tRNAs corresponding amino acid is attached (by aminoacyl-tRNA synthetases). tRNAs cope with the degeneracy of the genetic code in two manners: having more than one tRNA (with a specific anti-codon) for a particular amino acid; and 'wobble' base-pairing, i.e. permitting non-standard base-pairing at the 3rd anti-codon position. The record is from RNAcentral. Lineage: Eukaryota; Metazoa; Arthropoda; Insecta; Orthoptera; Pyrgomorphidae.